Trichonephila clavipes is the source of this 74-nucleotide non-coding RNA. Lineage: Eukaryota; Metazoa; Arthropoda; Arachnida; Araneae; Nephilidae. The record is from the annotation of a GenBank genome assembly.
GUUCCUGUUGCACAACGGACAGCGCGUUGGACUUCUCAUCCAAAAGUAGUGGGGUUCGACUCCCUACUGGAAUG